Ahaetulla prasina is the source of this 1369-nucleotide long non-coding RNA. RefSeq lists it as uncharacterized. Lineage: Eukaryota; Metazoa; Chordata; Lepidosauria; Squamata; Colubridae. The record is from RefSeq and is a predicted model, not a curated record. The transcript has 3 exons.
CAUGCGCACUGGCUGGCUGCUCUUCUGGUUUCCAGCAUACGCGCAUGCUCCCGUUUUAGCACACGGUGCCGAAAAGAUUAUCCCAGAACUGAGGUGAGGCUUGAAAAGGAUUGGGGAUAUAUGGGGAAAAGGCUACAGGCAUCAAUAGGAUGAGGAGGACUGCAGCCACUUCACAAGGAGCAUUGAUGCUUUCACCAGAAAAAACAAGGGUCGCCUUUCUCUCUCCUGCUGACAAGGCGUACCUGCAUUUCAGCUGCCAGAUUCCCUUCCUAAAACAACUUGAUUUAGGACUGAUACUACGCUUUUCAGCAAAUUAAUUUAAUCCAAUGGAGGAUGGUGACAACAUGGAUAGUGACCUCUAUGCUUCUACUUAUUAUGUUUUCACCUUUUAUAUAAAUUUAUCAUGUCAUGUAGUUACAACACACACAUAUAAAAAGGGUGAUUUAGCUAAGCUAGGAGGCUAAGGAAUAGGGAGGAAAAGGCAAAAACUACUUUCCACUGUUGCCAAGAAGACAACAUGAAUGUGUUUCCAAACUUAGGAAUAGACUUUUACAUGAGGGAAAAUCUUUAAACUGAGAAUAGAACCAAUUUGUUUUUAUCAAAUUAAGAGUUUGGACAAUUCUUAAUUAGUUUCUUCGUUCCUGUUGAAUUUCCAGUCAUUCUAUGCUUGUUGUCACUUUAAAAAUUGGGUGUUUACAAAGCACCAAAGUCAUUUUUUUACCUUAAACAAAGCCAAACAGUUCAACCACACACAUGGGCUUGACCAGCAAAUCCAACUUGGAUGAUGUCAUUGAACAUGUUUGCUGGUAACAAAGUCCUUUUGCUUUGAUGGUGUCGAUUUUCCAAACAGCGUGUUGAGGCGAUGCCACCAUUUAUUAAUCUCUAAUGCACAGAUCAGCCAUAAAUUGUAUUUGAAAUUAACAGUUUAGCUUAGAAGUCCACAUACUUGGAAUUGGUGGUUGUUGUUUUUUGCUUGCAUCUUAAUUGAUGUUCCUAUAUUCUCUGCAUCAGGCUUAUAUAUAAAGAAAAGAGCUGCUAGCCUUGUACAGUGCCUGGCCUUGAUGUGCUAUCUUUCCCUCUAUUUCUCUGCUGUGUUCUCCCCCCUCCCCCUGCCCCUAAAGACCUUGUUGAGCUCUCUCUCCUCUUGGGAACAUAAACAAUCAACAUGACUAAAUCAACACAAUCAGUAAUUUUUCUUCCCCAAGGCUAUUCCCACCAUGGGAUGCUCUGUAACUCUCGUGAUGGUGCAGAAUCCGCUAAACAUUAUUAGCUUGGUUACCAGCAGCUAGCCAGCUGCCCUCUCUCUUCUCUGCUCCUCCCAUCCUCAAUUCUGCCUGUACACAGAUUGUUUAUCAAAAGGAGGUGCCAG